GAGGGUAUAGCUCAGUAGUAGAGUGUGUGCCUAGCAUGCUCAAGGUCCUGGUUCAAUCCUCAAUAUCUUCA
This 71-nucleotide transfer RNA is filed under the name Camelus bactrianus (Bactrian camel). It matches the Rfam family "tRNA". From Rfam's summary of the family: Transfer RNA (tRNA) molecules are approximately 80 nucleotides in length. Lineage: Eukaryota; Metazoa; Chordata; Mammalia; Artiodactyla; Camelidae. RNAcentral also lists the same sequence under 2 other names. The record is from Rfam by way of RNAcentral.